CGAGGUGAGUAAUGUCUGGGAAACUGCCUGAUGGAGGGGGAUAACUACUGGAAACGGUAGCUAAUACCGCAUAACGUCGCAAGACCAAAGAGGGGGACCUUCGGGCCUCUUGCCAUCGGAUGUGCCCAGAUGGAUUAGCUAGUAGGUGGGGUAACGGCUCACCUAGGCGACGAUCCCUAGCUGGUCUGAGAGGAUGCCAGCCACACUGGAACUGAGACACGGUCCAG
This 227-nucleotide ribosomal RNA is filed under the name uncultured bacterium. RNAcentral describes it as "partial 16S ribosomal RNA". It matches the Rfam family "Bacterial small subunit ribosomal RNA", at positions 105 to 334 of the family's 1533-position model. The record is from RNAcentral.